This 1027-nucleotide long non-coding RNA is filed under the name Populus trichocarpa (black cottonwood). RNAcentral's name for it is "long non-coding RNA (PTRI_LNC003320)". The record is from RNAcentral. Lineage: Eukaryota; Viridiplantae; Streptophyta; Magnoliopsida; Malpighiales; Salicaceae.
CGUGUUUAAAGAAACUUGAGUAACUAGUUAAAAUAUUAUUUGAUUUAAAAAAUUAAUACUUACAUGUAACGGAAUGGUAACGUUACAUUAGCAAAGAGGGCACCAUAAAGUAUGGUGGGGGCUAUUGUGUUGGUUUUAACAUACAAUAAAGACACAAAAGUUGAAACGCACAAAUACUUUAGUGGUAAGCACUGCCGUAUAAGUGAAAAUCUUAAACCCACAAGGCCGUCGUCUCCUUGCUUCCUGUUUGCAUGUGUAGUGAAUAGAGAGCUGAAAUAGCUACUCAAAUAUUUUGUCACCUUUCUUGACUCGAGACAGCAAGUCCCAUUAUUGAUUCUUCAGGCAGCAGUCUCAUUAUUUAAGUCUUCUGAUUGGCGCCAAGUAGUGUCAUGUAGUGGAACUUGCACUGAAAGUGAAUAGAAUAAACAUCAUGUCACAGCAUUACACAGCCAGAAAAUAUGCCAGCCUUCUGCUUGGCCUUUCUUGGUCCAAUUCAGACAAAUCAAUCCCAGAUCUUAGGCCUGAUAACACACUCCUGAUCUACAGGGCUUAGUCAUCUGGCAAAAGCCAUGGACGGCAUUCGAUUCUAGACAUUAAAAUAAGAUGCUGACUGUUUCAGCGGAGGGGCAAAAUCAAGACUGAAGGCAAGAGAGUAAAAAAGAAGAAGAAGAAAGCAGCCAAGCCCUCUCUCUACGCCUGCAAAAUCUGCAAGGAUGGAGGAAUUAGCAGAGACCCCAGUAUCUUAAAGAAAGAAGAGCUUAAAGGCAAAUAGCACAGGAUUAAUGAACUUUUUAUAUAUAGCUACCAAUUAAUUAGGUGUUCUUGAUAACAUCACCAGCCGCAGAAAGGCUGGAAUUGAUGGAAUGAUUAUUACCACUGAUCGUGCAAUCUCAAGUUAUGAUUAAGCCAACAGUCAUCAUAAUUCAUACAUGCCAACACUAGAUGUCUACUGACCCACAUAUAUACAUACACACGCCAAGCUUUGUUUGAGGCAAAGUUCUAAAUCAAACAUGACUCGGAGGGUGGG